GUCUCUUCCCCUGUCUGUUGUGUGUGUGUGUGUGUGGGUAUGGUCUCCCCCAGCAGGCAGCAGUCAGGUGAAACUACUCUGCAAUCAACCACCUACAUAGACUCUGGAUUUCCUCCUGCUUGACCACAGAUCGUUGCUUCAGUCUAUGUGAUUGCUGCAUUGACCUAGCAGCCUGUGUUUGCUUCUCCUUUGCCUGCGGACUUGCCAACCUACUGCCAUUGCUCUGAAGCAGACACCACGCCACCAUCACCCUCGUCUUCACCAGUGAUCUCACGAGCCACUACGCUUUCAGUAACCAUCAAGGAGCAGACCCCUUCCCACUCCUUCUCUGUCUUCCUCCAAGGGACCAUGUUGACAGGCAUCGACGGACCACUCAUGCUCUCCUGUGACAUGGUGCAGAAGGCCAAUCUAUAUGUAUGUAUGUAUGUAUGUACGUACGUACAUACAUACAUACAUACAUACAUACAUACAUACAUACAUACAUACAUACAUACAUACAUACAUACAUACAUACAUACAUACAUACAUACAUACAUACAUACAUACAUACAUACAUACAUACAUACAUACGACUGCCAGGUCACUUCAUAAAGAUAUUUAUGCUACUUUCUAUUUUCGAACACUGGAAACAAGCUAACGUUAGCACUAGCAUCCGAAACAAGCUAACGUUAGCCCGACUGCAAUAUCACAGUAAGGUCACAUGCACAAUGGAGUACUAGUGUAACAAUUACAAUUAGCUUUUUAACCCAGUCGAAAAUCAAAUUAAACAUUAUGUAAAUCAAUCAGGGGUAAUUACCU
Acanthopagrus latus (yellowfin seabream) is the source of this 798-nucleotide long non-coding RNA. RefSeq lists it as uncharacterized. The record is from RefSeq and is a predicted model, not a curated record. NCBI's taxonomy places the organism in Eukaryota, Metazoa, Chordata, Actinopteri, Spariformes, Sparidae. The transcript is spliced from 3 exons.